GGCCAUUGCUGUGUAGGCUUGGGCUCUGACCUGGAAGCCGAACUCUGCUGCAGGCACGGAGUCUCCAUGAAGAGCACACGGGGAGAGAAGAUGCUUCACAGGAGCCCUGGAUCUCCCUGGCACAUGGAGUACCUUGGAGGAGUGUAAGGGCAGCCAGGAAAGUUCUGAGAUUGCUACAGGACAAAAUCUUGUGCUUCUGAGCUCUGCAAUGAAGUUUUAAUCACCCCAAUAUACAUCUUUCCACGACAUAUAUUUUUCUGUCCACCAAAGACAUAAUGGCUGCUCCUUUUAUGGGAAACCAGGAUUUAAUCCAGCAAACCAAAUGACAGAAUCUGAGACCAUCCAAUGUCCUGCUCUGCCAAAAACAUCCUGUGGAUAUUUUAAGGCCCACCAAAGGCUCUCCCAAGACUGUUUUCCCCUAUCACACCCAUAAGCUCCCAGAUGGCAUCCUGUAUCCACCGACACAGAAAAUAAUUUCCCAGUAUUU
Molecule: long non-coding RNA, 487 nt
Organism: Zonotrichia albicollis (white-throated sparrow)
Lineage: Eukaryota; Metazoa; Chordata; Aves; Passeriformes; Passerellidae
Source: Ensembl